RNAcentral lists this unclassified non-coding RNA (3012 nucleotides) under Hevea brasiliensis (rubber tree). Lineage: Eukaryota; Viridiplantae; Streptophyta; Magnoliopsida; Malpighiales; Euphorbiaceae. The record is from RNAcentral.
UGAUUAUUAGUGGAAAGGCAACACUGGCGUGAAAAAUAUUUUGCAUUGCUAUUAUUGAAGAUAGGCUUCAUUGCAUGGUCAAACUGGAAAGUGCUGUUUACUUGAUGAAGUUAGAUAUCUUCAUGGGUAAUUAUCGCCGUAAAAUAUAAUUUGUCUUGUAAAAUUUCAAUUUCCUGAAAUGGGUUGACUUUGUGGAUUGAAUUCUUUGAGUGGUUUGUGAAUGUAUAGGGGCUUUAGUCAUUUGGUGAGUGAGGAGAAGUUACAAAAAAAAAAAAAAAAAAAUCAGACUCCCAUCUCAAUAGCCAUCAUGGCAGAUCUUGAUAUAUUGAGGGGUGCUCCAACAAAUUUGGAACAAACCAGUCCCCAAAAAAAAAAACACAGAGAGAGAUUUCUGCAUUGCAAAUUAUCAACCAUUCAUUGCCUACUUAGAUCAGUCACAAAACUUCCAAGACGUCAAAACAAAUGCAGCAAGUGUUCCUUGAUGCCUCAUCUCACUAGCUUGUAUCUUGUGUCAUUUCUGUGUCCUCGGCCAUUAUAAUUUCCAUGUCUCUCAUAUCUCGCUUCAAUACAUUGCCAAGUCUUGCUAUGGCUUCUGUCUGCUGUUGUAAAACCUCCUGCAUAUCAGCAAGACUCUGAUCAUGUAUUUUGGUUGAUCCUGGAAGGUAAAUAGAACCACCAACUCCAAUUGCAUUUGCUUGAACACGAGAUACAGUGAGUAGGUUUUGAACCCUCCGAGAAAGUUCAGCUCCAGAUCCUUUCAGCUGUCUGGUUAUUGCAGCCAACUUCUCAGCCAAUUCAGCUUCCCCUUUCAUUAAGGGCAUUCGGUAACCCUUACCCUCCAAUGCCUCCAUUAUUCUCAUUAUCUUCAAGCACACAGCACACAUGAGGAUGUGUUAACAGGAACCAAAUGCACAAAUUGUUCACACAAGACAAACAGGUGUUGACAGCCCAGGCCCCCACAAUUGUGAUAAAAAGACAAUUGGCAAUAGCAUCACAAACAGAUUCUAAAUACUUUUAACCAUAGUGGACAGUGCACCAACCACAUAAAAGAUGAGAAGUAUCUUCUAAAGCCCCCCACAAUUCCAUAAAAAUUUCAAUUUGGACUUGAACUUUCAAUUGAGGCAAUUUAAACCUCAUAAUUUCAUUAUUGGUGCAAUCUUUAAUUUCUACAGAUUUGAAAUGAAACUCAUAAUAGGUACACAUAAAAUAUACAAGAUUCAUAUGCAUAAAUCAUAUAGGAUCUUUGAGAGAGAAAUUUCAGAAAACAACUUACAUCUUACACAAAAUAACAUGUGUUAUGUGCAUUGCUUGCUCCUAGGUCAGGUUAAGAAACCACCUAAUUUCUCUACAUAGCCCUUCCCUUUUAUGCUUGCUUUUCCAUUAAUAUUUUCCUGACUUGUAUGAUAAACAAGUUACUAUUAAAUGGAUAAAGUCUAAUGCUAUUUGAUGGACAAUCAACAUUGCUUCAAAAUAGAGUUUUUUGGAUUGAAAACUCAGGCUUGAAACUGAAAUGGUGGAUGGAAUUAAAAGGCUCAGAAUUCAAAACGCAUCUUUCAUUAUAGUAAAGAAUGGCAAAGGAUUCUGAAAACAUGAUUCAUCUAUUUCACAUCCAGCACAUGGAACACAUAACAAGCCCCACAGAAGACUAAAAUGUGGGAUGCAAUGGAUAAAGCCAUUCUCUUCAUUCAAAAUGGUUUUGCAUAAUAAGGGCAUACAACAUUCUCACCCUUAAAAGACGCCUUUGAAGACUCUGCUCUUUUUGCCUCAUUCUUUCAAUCCAGGGAAGAGUCUCAGCUUGAAAAUGCCUUUGAAGCAUCUUUACAUUGCUUUGGGUCAUUCGCAAUCGCUCAGUAUCAGAAACAAUAACUUCAUCUUGGAGCUUAAGACGAUGAGAAAGAUCUUUGAAACCUUGAACAAGCUGAGGCCACAGCCGUUCCCGUUCUGAACUCUCCAUACCCUCUAACUUUGCCACAGCCUCCGCCCACAUGAUCUAGCAAAGCAAACUAUUCUACAAACUUAGCGAAGAACACAAGCUCCAGACGAUAUCAUUUAAUCAUUUAAUAUCAAACAUAGUGAUAAAAAUAAAGAAAAAUGAAAUGAUAAACUCACAUCUGAGACACCAACAGGCUUCACUCUAUGCUGUGGAUCAGUUACACUAAACAACAAAUACUGCAAAAUUAACACAAAAUUUCAACAUCUAAAACCCCUAAUUCUUCACUGAGUUACUCUGGAAACACAUACAUAACAAAUUCCAAUUUCAAAAAAUAUCAACCGAUUAGAACUCAAGAAUACAAAAGAGCCUUCUUCCCCCUCGUCGGCAUUCUCAGCAACAAAUACCAAUGAAAUGAGAACAAAAGAGGAGAGAAAUGAAACGGACCUUAAACGCAUAUUUAGGGUUCCCUGGCUCCUCGUUGUAAGCAUCCACAAUCGCCUGAAUAUCACGAUCAGCUAGCGAGAAAGGAAGCGGAGCGACGGGGGCCAUCUGUGUAGUCAGUUGAGCAUUAGGGAACGGCGUUGCCUGAGUAGCGGCGAACGGAGUCCGAAAUCCUAAACCAGUAGACAGCUGCUGAAAAAGAGGAGUCUGUUGUUGCUGCUGCUGUUGCUGUUGCGUUUGAGACGAGAACGGUGUAGAGAAGAGAGAGGACCCGAAACCAGUGGCGAAAGAUGGCGUCGAUGGAGUUCCGAAGGCCGGAGUCGAAGACCAAGUACCGAAUGCCGGAGUUGAAGAGGGUGUGCCAAAGGCUGGGGCACCAAAUGCAGGCGUAGAGGAUGGAUUUCCAAAGGCCGAAGUUCCAAAGGCCGGAGUUGAAGCUUGAGCGCCGAACAUUUUUGCGAUUAGAGGGAACUGACCUAGCGGGGGUAGAGUGUGAACGCUUCUCUGCGUUUUUAAUAAAAUGACGCCAUGAAUUGUGGCUUUUGCGGUUUAGUAGCGUGUUUGCGGCUAUGAUGUUCGAUCGUUGGCCAGAUAGAGAGGGGAGGGAAUGUAUUUUCGGCGGCAGAGAUGGAGUAUUG